CUGGAGACCAGUCAUUUCUCUAAUGAGGCUGUGCAAACAUCAUGUGUUCCUCUGUGGAAAGAAAUGGAGAUGGCCAGGAGCAACAGGACACACUGAGCUAAUGACAGAUCUGAAGAAGUGUCAACACUGCAAGGGAGAAAGCUCGGAGCAGCGGGAGUGUGGCUCGCAGGGGAGAUGGGAGUGACAGCAAAUAUGCUUUUCAAGGAAAGGAAAAGAAACAAGAAGCCCUCUGAGGGUUCCCCAUGGAAUACCCUCUGAUAGAGGUAUUUGCUGACGUGAGGAAAAAUACUUAGUUUCAGAAAUAUUGCAGGCAUUUCCUCUGAGAAUUUGCUCCUGCUUACAGCAAACAAAGAAGAGAAACUCAAACUGGUGCAUGCAGGCAUCAGAUGUUUGCUAUGAGGCAUUUGCCAAGAAGAAAGAGGUUUGCAAAGGGCAUCAGACUCCAGGAGACCCCCAUGUAGACUGGGAGAUGAGGCUUAUCUCAGAUUCUACCCAGGAGUCCAAAAAAACAGGGGGUUUAUUUCUAAACCACCACUGGCUACACGAAGAUAUCUUUGCAAGUGCAGUUGUGACUCCCAGUGGGAGCUCCCGUUUUUCAACAGGUCUGAAAUUCAGGCUGUUUCAGUUUUAGCAGCCUAAAUGAGCACUUAGCACUUCUGAAAUGCUUGGCCAAAAGCACUGCAGCCAAGAAUGAAAGUUGCAUGAACUCGGAAAGAACAAGGUAUCGCAUUAACCUUUGGUUAUCAGAAGAAUGUAAAACAUCUUAGAUUUAUUCCCCAAGCUCAAUUCAGUUUUCAUCAGUGCUGAACAGCCAGUACACCAGUGACAUAACUGGGAAUAUCAUGAAGCAGCCAGCUUGAAGUCAUUGCUGGCAGUAGGGUCUUUGUGUGUUUUGUGCCUGACAGUUUGUAAAGACCAGAAUUCAUCAUUCAAACCUGAUGCAAAAGAAGUUUUCAGUGUGCUGUGGUGGGUUUUGUGUUUUGUUCUAG
Pogoniulus pusillus (Red-fronted tinkerbird) is the source of this 989-nucleotide long non-coding RNA. RefSeq lists it as uncharacterized. Lineage: Eukaryota; Metazoa; Chordata; Aves; Piciformes; Lybiidae. The record is from RefSeq and is a predicted model, not a curated record. The transcript has 3 exons.